GGACCCGUAGCUCAACUGGAUAGAGCAUCUGACUACGGAUCAGAAGGUUAGGGGUUCAAAUCCCUACGGGUCCG
This 74-nucleotide transfer RNA is filed under the name Bacteroidota bacterium. Its description in RNAcentral is "Bacteroidetes bacterium (activated sludge metagenome) tRNA-Arg". It matches the Rfam family "tRNA". From Rfam's summary of the family: Transfer RNA (tRNA) molecules are approximately 80 nucleotides in length. Their secondary structure includes four short double-helical elements and three loops (D, anti-codon, and T loops). Further hydrogen bonds mediate the characteristic L-shaped molecular structure. tRNAs have two regions of fundamental functional importance: the anti-codon, which is responsible for specific mRNA codon recognition, and the 3' end, to which the tRNAs corresponding amino acid is attached (by aminoacyl-tRNA synthetases). tRNAs cope with the degeneracy of the genetic code in two manners: having more than one tRNA (with a specific anti-codon) for a particular amino acid; and 'wobble' base-pairing, i.e. permitting non-standard base-pairing at the 3rd anti-codon position. The record is from RNAcentral. Lineage: Bacteria; Pseudomonadati; Bacteroidota.